AAUCAAGUCUGGAAGUGUUACAGGAUGGAAGAGUGAGCCUACAGAUGAAAAAACACUGAGAGUGCAUUACCGUAAGGUGUGAGUACAACAGCAAUCCUUUAUAGUUCUGUCACAGCUAGAAGCCUCAAAUAAUUCUGCUUCUCUGUCUAAAGAACAACUUGUCCUUUAUGUUCAGAGUGUUGGGGAAACUGGGUACUUAAAUGGCCCUAAAGAUGUUUUAAUUUUGCUGCUAUUGCAGAGAUGAACAUCAUACAUGGACUCUUUAGGUCUUAUCUACCAAAAAAAAUUUUAUCCAAUAGGAAAGGAUUUUCAUGUACUGGGAACACAAUUAUCAACAAUGCAACAUUCUACAGGUGCUAGUUUAUCAUUCAAGAGCCUUAUACAAUGAAGUUAAUCUGCAAUUUGUAUGUCCUUUCCCAAGCUUCCACCAGAAGUUGAAUCUAUGAGUCAUGUAAGUUCCAUGAUCAACAAUUGAUGUGUUUAACGGUGUUGUUUUUCUUUUCUCAAUAUAGGUUAAUAGUAACAUUGGAUCUGAAAAGAUUCUUGGUUGGGGCAAGACACUGAAUAAAUUGUAUUGAUUGGAUGGAUGACAUGACAUUGCUAUACUUAAUUCGGAUUCCCCAGACGGUAUUUGAUAUUAAAAAAAUUGAAGUGCAUAUCUGGGCUCCCUUCUUUUCUGAAGCCCCGUUUCCCCUUGACUCAUAAUAAGCCCGUAGGGGGUCAUGCCCCUACUGUACGGUAUAUAUAAAAACAACAUAUACCGAGGUUUGGAGGGCUCUGGCCGGAAAGGGGACGUGGGGUGCCGCUUCGUCCGAUGAUGUGUUCACGGAGGGUGACGUGGCUGCCCACAAAUCCGAACUAAAGGUUAAUCGCUCCUGUAAAAAUGUUCCAAAUCUUCAGCUCUUCUUCCGGCUUCUCUUAGCCAAUCACCGGGUAAUCUCCCCGGUGGGUCAACA
This is a long non-coding RNA of Daphnia carinata, 956 nucleotides long. RefSeq lists it as uncharacterized. Lineage: Eukaryota; Metazoa; Arthropoda; Branchiopoda; Diplostraca; Daphniidae. The record is from RefSeq and is a predicted model, not a curated record. The transcript has 3 exons.